This 427-nucleotide ribosomal RNA is filed under the name uncultured bacterium. Its description in RNAcentral is "bacterial SSU rRNA". It matches the Rfam family "Bacterial small subunit ribosomal RNA", at positions 355 to 775 of the family's 1533-position model. The record is from RNAcentral.
UCGAGAAUUUUUCACAAUGGGGGAAACCCUGAUGGAGCGACGCCGCGUGGGGGAUGAAUGGCUUCGGCCCGUAAACCCCUGUCAUUUGCGAUCAAACCUUACGACCUAACACGUCGUAAGCUGAUAGUAGCGGAAGAGGAAGGGACGGCUAACUCUGUGCCAGCAGCCGCGGUAAUACAGAGGUCCCAAGCGUUGUUCGGAUUCACUGGGCGUAAAGGGUGCGUAGGCGGUCGGGUAAGUCUGACGUGAAAUCUUCAAGCUUAACUUGGAAACUGCGUCGGAUACUAUUCGGCUGGAGGAAUGGAGGGGAGACUGGAAUACUUGGUGUAGCAGUGAAAUGCGUAGAUAUCAAGUGGAACACCAGUGGCGAAGGCGAGUCUCUGGACAUUUCCUGACGCUGAGGCACGAAAGCCAGGGGAGCAAACGG